AUUGAACGCUGGCGGCAGGCCUAACACAUGCAAGUCGAACGAGUGGCGGACGGGUGAGUAAUAUCUGGGAAACUACCUGAUGGAGGGGGAUAACUACUGGACACGGUCGCUAAUAACGCAUACCAUCGGAUGUGCCCAGGUGGGAUUAGCUAGUUGGUGGGGUAACGGCGCACCAAGGCGACGAUCCCUAGCUGGUCUGAGAGGAUGACCAGCCACACUGGAACUGAGACACGGGCCAGACUCCGACGGGAGGCAGCAGUGGGGAAUAUUGCACAAUGGGCGCAAGCCGGAUGCAGCCAUGCCGCGUGUAUGAAGAGGGCCUUCGGGUUGUAAAGUACUUUCAGCGGGGAGGCGUUACCCGCAGAAGAAGCACCGGCUAACUCCGUGCCAGCAGCCGCGGUAAUUC
This 406-nucleotide ribosomal RNA is filed under the name uncultured bacterium. RNAcentral's name for it is "partial 16S ribosomal RNA". It matches the Rfam family "Bacterial small subunit ribosomal RNA", at positions 29 to 526 of the family's 1533-position model. The record is from RNAcentral.